RNAcentral lists this ribosomal RNA (466 nucleotides) under Vreelandella stevensii. RNAcentral describes it as "partial 16S ribosomal RNA". It matches the Rfam family "Bacterial small subunit ribosomal RNA", at positions 338 to 795 of the family's 1533-position model. The record is from RNAcentral. Lineage: Bacteria; Pseudomonadati; Pseudomonadota; Gammaproteobacteria; Oceanospirillales; Halomonadaceae.
CCUACGGGUGAGCAGCAGUGGGGAAUAUUGGACAAUGGGCGAAAGCCUGAUCCAGCCAUGCCGCGUGUGUGAAGAAGGCCUUCGGGUUGUAAAGCACUUUCAGUGGGGAAGAAAGCCUUGGGGCUAAUACCCUCGAGGAAGGACAUCACCCACAGAAGAAGCACCGGCUAACUCCGUGCCAGCAGCCGCGGUAAUACGGAGGGUGCGAGCGUUAAUCGGAAUUACUGGGCGUAAAGCGCGCGUAGGCGGUCUGAUAAGCCGGUUGUGAAAGCCCCGGGCUCAACCUGGGAACGGCAUCCGGAACUGUCAGGCUAGAGUGCAGGAGAGGAAGGUAGAAUUCCCGGUGUAGCGGUGAAAUGCGUAGAGAUCGGGAGGAAUACCAGUGGCGAAGGCGGCCUUCUGGACUGACACUGACGCUGAGGUGCGAAAGCGUGGGUAGCAAACAGGAUUAGAUACCCCAGUAGUC